UCGCUUCUUCCUUGGCGGUCUCAAGGGCCUGAAUCAAAUUCUCCAAACAAGUUGUCCCAGGAUCAUCAGAUGGACUUGGGCAUCAAAUUUUCCGCAACAUCAACAGGAGUCAUAUUGGUUUCCUCCAACAAUCUGCGGAUGCUUGCAAACAAAUGGUGGGAGUCAAGAUCCAAGUAAUUCUUAGCAAACACCUUGAAUGCUUCAAAGCAACAGUAGGAUAAUUUAUUAUUAGUGAAUUAAUUUGAAAUUUAUUAAUUUGGGUUUGUGGGCAUAUUGUAUUUGGUGAUUAAUUUAAGGAUAUUUGGAUUAUAUUAAUUGUAAACUGUUUAUUUGGAUUUGGGCUUAUUGUUUAAGUUGUUAUUUGUUUGGGUUUAAAAUAUUAUUUCUCUUGAUCAUGUAUUUUUUUUUUAUGUGAGCUUGUUAAUUUAUGUGAAUUUUGGGGCUCAUAAUGUAGAUGAGAUUUAUUGGAUUAUUUAAAUAUUUUAUAUGGGUUUGAUCAAUUUGAAUUAUUUAAUUUAGAUAUGAGACAAUUGUGGUGUAUAUUAAAUUAAGCUUAGAUUAUGAAAUAUUAAAUUUAUGUUUAGUAGAAUUUAUUUUAAUUGGGUUGUGUUGUUGGAAGGGAGAUGUGGUGGAGUGCUGUGAAGGAGGAAGAAGAAGGAGAAGAAGAAAAAAAAUCUGGGCCCGCGUGGGAGUUCGGGGGAGAAGAGAAAAGGAAAAAAUAUGGGAAGAUGUCAGGGUGGGGUGCCGGAGGAAAGAAAAAAAAUGAGGGGGGAAGGGAGGCUGGCGAAAAGCCAGGGACCCCACCCAAAAAAAUUGGGGGCACUCGUUUCUCUUUUGGGAAUAGGGGAGAGGAAAAAAAGAAAAAAAUGUAAAAAAUCAGCAGAGAGAGAGGCGGGCUGCCGAAUGGAGGGAAAAUCAAUCGGGGGAGGGCCGGCCAAUUGGGAAACGGAGGAAGAAAAAAAUAAUAAAAAAAAGGAAGAAAAUCAUGAAGAGUGGAGAGGGGGGCUUUUAGACGUGAGAGAGCAUGGGUUAGGUGAGGGUAGGUGGAGGAAGAGAAGAGAGAAGAGGGAGGAGAGAGGAAAGAAAAAAAUAAUAAUAAAUAUAUAUAUAUAUAUAUCAUAUAAUAUAAUAUAAUAAUAACAAAAAAAAUAAAAAAAUAAAAAAAUAAUUUAUAAAAUAAUAAAAACGAGAAAUUAAAGGAUGAAUAGACUUAAAAUUGAACUUAAAAUUAAUAUAAAAAUAAAAUUAAAAUAAAUUUUGAACUCUACAUAUAUAUUUAUAAAUUAAAAAGUCUAAAUUAGGUUCGAACUUAGGUCUUCCAUCAUUCAUCGACAGCUUGGCCAGAACAUUGGUUGUUGGGACAUUGUAUGAGCACAGCAUUUUUAGUUUUUAGUUGAACUACAAAAACGGAAAAAACAAUUGAUCCUCAUGUUUUAAAAGAAAGAAAUUACUGUGAAGAGUAUGAAAUAAUAUUAAAAAUAAAACAAAGUUGAAAUUCUUUUAUUCCGGUCACUGACUGAGAAAUAAGAAGAGAAACAAGAGACAAGGAGUACUGACAGCUUGAACCAAACAACCAGCUGCAUCAGACCAGAGUCAGAUGGAAGUUGGUCCAUUUAGCCCAGAGCUUCAUUCUACAUGACAAACACACUGAACCUAAAAGCUUAUCCUAAAUUAAUUAAGUAGAUGGUGGUUCUUUGGGGAUCACCCCAUUUUCUCUCGCUGCCGACACUCCAUUCUCUUUCACCUCUUCACCUGACAUUUCCUUCUCUUUCACUUCUCCAGCAGUUGCCUCCUUCUCCUUCCCUUCUUUCUCGGCCUUUAGCCUCUCCUCUUCCUCUUCCUUCUCUGCCUUCACCCUCGCUUCUUCCUUGGCGGUCUCAAGGGCCUGAAUCAAAUUCUCCAAACAAGCUGUCCCAGGAUCAUCAGUACUGAUGGACUUGGGCAUCAAAUUUUCCGCAACAUCAGCAGGAGUCAUAUUGGUUUCCUCCAACAAUCUGCGGAUGCUUGCAAACAAAUGGUGGGAGUCCAGAUCCAAGUAAUUCUUUGCAAGCACCUUGAAUGCUUCAAAGCAACAGUAGGAUAAUUCUAUGUGCCUGUCCAUCCUCCCUCUCCUUAUGAGAGCAGGAUCAAGUUUUUCCACGUGAUUGGUGGUGAAAACUAUGAGUCUCUCUUCGCCACAAGCUGACCACAGCCCAUCAAUAAAAUUCAGAAGCCCGGAUAGAGUAACCUUGCUUUCUUUGCUUUCACCUUCUUUCCCCUUCUUAGGAAUUGGAUUAUCCUUGGACUCUUCGUCCUCCUCUUCCUUUUCCUUCUUUUUCUUACGUUGGCCUGUGAGGUCAAGCGAACAGUCGAUGUCCUCUAUCACAAUGAUGGACUUACUCGUUGUCUCGAUCAGUAGCUUCCGCAGCUCCGUGUUGUCCUUAACGGAAGUGAGUUCAAGAUCAUAGAUAUCAUAAUUCAAAAGGUUAGCCAUGGCAGCAAUCAUGCUCGACUUGCCAGUUCCUGGAGGACCAUGAAGGAGAUACCCUCUCUUCCAAGCCUUCCCAAUUUUUGAAUAAUAAUCUUUCCUCGUGCGGAAGAUGGUGAGAUCAUUAACAAUUUCCUCCUUCUUCUUUGACUCCAUUGCUAGAGUCUCAAAUGUGGCUGGGUGCUCAAAGGCCACAUGACUCCACACGGACUUUUUGUAUCCAUGCCAAUUGUCACUUGGAUUGUUAGUGCAGAGCUUUCGCUGCCGAUUUCUGACUGCAAUUGCCUUCCCCUCCUUUAUCACAUGAUUGAGAUAAGACCCCACGAUCAAAUCUCGGUACUGUUGAUGGAAAGUGAGCCUAUAGUACCUCUUCUCAUCAGCAGCAGGAUAAAAAGAAAUGGCCUGCAUUUUAGGGGGACUUUUAUUGGAAACCCACCAAAGCUUGACCCCCUGGAAUUCAUCCGUGACUUCUUCAUGGUCAUCCAUGCUGAGGACUACAGAUUGGCUGUCUUUGAUGAUAUCUGCCUUGAGCCGCUUGGCCCGGGCAGAUGAAUUAGCACUGAGGUAGUUCUCAAUGGCAGCAUAGGCUUCGCUGCGCUUGCGUCUGAAGCUAUUUUCAGUGAACUCCUGGAAAGUGAUUUGAAUGUAAGGGUACACAAAGCUCACCAACUUUUGGCUGUACUUUUCAAUAUAGGGCCGGAGCUGGUAAGGGAAGUAUUGCUGAAACAUGGCCCAGAGAAAGAUUGCCCCAGCGGCUACCGAGCCUAGUUGACCAAACAUCUCCCCCAUCACCACCUUCUUCUCCAAAGUUUUCGAGUAUUAGUGGUAAAAUGUGUUUGUAAGGAUUGAACGUUGCUUGCCGAUUAUAUAGAGGAGCAAAACCGACACUGAUAUUCAUCAUCUCACAAGUUCUAUUCUGUGGCCACCGCCAACGACGACAUUUCAAGCUCUAUUUAGUGGCUUCGUCACCAAGGAAAAUUCCCAUUUUCUUGUACCAGCAGCCACCUUUGACGAUAUUAAUCGACCGUGGAAUACUGGAAUGGGUGGAAAUUUCAUUCUGAAGGCCAUCGAUAACUGCAUAAAUGUAUUAGAUUGCAGUUCAAUAUAAUUAUGUUUUGACUUUUGAGUCAUGGCUAAAGACAAUUCUAGUUUCAUUCUUCAAAAAAUGACGUACGUUUGGAGAUAAAUUUUUUAAUUAUCAUAUCUUAAAUUAUUUUUAAAAAAAAAUCGAUAUCCUUGUGUUCUAUAUUUUAGGUUAUAUUUAAUUUUCAAAAAUACUAUAAAAAAAAGGUAAAAAUAAUUAUUUGCUCAUAUUUGAUUAUUCUAUAAAAAAUUUUAAAUAUAAUUAAUAUUAGUUAAAAUUUUAUAUAUUAAAAAAUUAAAAUAAAUAAAAUAAAUUUAUGUAAUUUAUAAAUAAAAAAUUAUUAUUUUUAUUUUUUUCUUAUAUAUUUUUUCAAAUUUUUGGAAACAUAACCUUAGUCUUCUCGAAGCUCAUAUUUGAAUUUGAAAUUUCAACUUGUUUGGUUGUUGGAAAGCUUCCAGAAAAGUGGAAAAACAGGAGAAAAUCAAAAGAAAAAAACAAGUAAAAGAUAGUUUAAAUUUAAUCAAUUAUUCCCCACUUUUCUCCUUAGCAUAAAGAAUGUGUCCCCAUACACUUUAAAGAAAAAUAAAAGAUUAUUUAAAUUUAAAUAAUUUAAAUACUGAAGUUCAUAAAUAAUCUUUCUCUUCGUAUUUAAUUUUCUUCCAUUCUCAACUUGUUUAUUGGGUUGAUGAUGCAAUCAGCUGAUAUCAUCAAUUUUUUUUUCACAUGCCUAAAUUGUCCUUAUUACAAUUAUUUUUAAUUAACAUAUAAUUAUCUUAAUUAGUAUAAAUUAAGGAAAAUUAAUCAUAAUCAGCAUUAAAGUAACCAAUACAUUUAAUUCAAACCAUAAAAUCUUAUAUCUUCUUCAAUAAAAAAAACUUCAAUUUCUCAUCUCAUUUUUAUUUUUUAAAUUUCUCCUAGGACACGAGAGAAAUUACAAUAAUAAAUAAAUAAAUAAAUAUAUAAAAGAAUUAGAGUUUGAAAGUAAUUUUAAAAAAUAGUUUUUGUAAAUAAUUUUUAAAAAUAUUUUUAAUUGUUUUGAGGAAUAAUUUUUUUUUUUUGAGAAUUUAAAUAUAGAAAUUUUUUUUAUGAAACUAUUAUAUACUUUUAUAUAAUACAAAAUAUUCUUUGUAUUUUUUAUUUUUAAUUGUUGUUCGAAAUUCUUUAUAAAAAUAUAUAUAAAUUUUGUUUUAAAAAAUCAACAUGUUCUCAAAAAGUCAUUUUUUAAAGUUAGAAAAUUAUUUUUUAUCUUAAACAAUAAAAUUUUAUUUUCAAGAAAACUUUCCAAACAGGUCUAAGAGUUUUGAAAGAAAAGGAAAGGCACUUGACACUUUCUCCACCAAAAUUUAAAUAAAAAAAAAAAUUGAUAAAAACUAAAGAAGAUAAAAAAGGAUAAAGAGUUGUGGACCGACCCACCAGCACGGCUAAGCUCGUCCCAAGGGAUCAUGGGCCAUACUGGGCUGUCCAUUUGUCUUGGACGGGCCGAGCACUAUCUUCAGGCGGCUUGCGCAGCCUGUUGGAACGGCCCGUUUUACGCGGACAUGAUUUCAGCAACUCAGCUAGAUGUUCUUGUUUUUUAGUUUUAGUUUUAUUUUUUAUUUUGGGGAAAAAAAAGGCGGAAAAAUGAUGGGAAAAAGCCUUGUUUUACACGGCUUGGACGAACCAAAUUUGGAAACUUCAUGCAUAAUUCACCCUUUAUUAAAUUAUAUGAAUUAUAAUAUAGUCUAUUUACAAAAAUAUUAAUAUACACUUUAUUAAUAAUUUAAUUUAAUUUCUUGCAUGACGAGCUUGAGCUCUUAGAAAAAAAGUAACGCUAAAGACCAUAUGUUUGAACUUAUUAAAUGAAGAGAAAAGACAAUUCAAUCUUAUCAUAUCUUCGAAAGUAAAAAAUUAGUCACACUCAUUACAAUUGAAAACAUAUCCACAAAAGUUUUGAUACAAAUAAGAUAUUGAAAAUGUUUAAAUCGGGAUGAAUCAUGAAACUUAUAUGACUCACAAUAAUCACAAAACCACUGACAAUACAUAUGAAAAAAAAAUAAACCUUGUACUUGAUGAAGUAAAAAGUCCAUAAUUGAAAGUCGAUAUAAUUAAAUGCACUAAAAUCAAUUACCUAACGAUUAAAGUGAUUGUCUUGCAAGAGUGAGAAAGCAAAAGCAUUACAACAAUUACCCAUGUUUAAAUGACUUAUCAUCUCUUGAACUUGAUUUGUAAGUUGGUUGAUGGGUAUUAUCAAAUUUUGCAUGUUUAGAUCACACUUGGACAAUGUUGCAAUAGUUGUGUGAGAAGUCUUUCAAAGUGUAGAUUUCUCUUUCAUAUUAUACUUCAUAUGGCCAAUUUUUAAAAAUGUAUAUGCAAGGUGAAAUUUAAGUUAUAUUGUCGAGGACUAAAUUUUGUGGCAAACGCAAAAUCUUCAUUUGUCUUUGGUUUUUGCAUUGUUCCAAACAUAAAUUGAUCUUCCUCUACUUUCUUUGAGUAAAAAAAGUUUUUUCAAGUCUCCCUGACUUCAAACUCUGAUAAUACAUAAUCAAUACUAAUAAAAGAAAGAGUAUAAUGAAGUACAAAAGUUAUAACAAACUCAAAAUUAUCUAAAAAAGCCAUUAGAAAUUACACAAGAUGUAAUUCUUCUUUGUAAUUGUUACGAAAUAAUGAGACUAGACAAUAAGAAAACAAAAUAAGAACAUAUAGAUUUACAUGAAAAUCCUAGGUGGAAAAAACCGUAAGCAUAGGAGAAGAAGAUCCACUAUGUCAAAAAAUAGUACAAAAGAGAAGAGUUGUGAAUGGUUACAAUAAAAGUAUAAUUAUCAUAACAUUAAAACUAUACAUCAUCAUCUAUAUAUAUAUACCUAUCCGCCCAAUCCCUCCACUACCACUACAAACCCUCCAAAAAAAUCUCAAAAUUAGCUAUACCACAUAUGUCACACCACAAGCUUUUCAAGAUUGGCAAAAGAGAAAUCGGGUCACCAAACUCUAAUAGUAUGAAUACUAUAAUUGAGCAUCAACAAUCCACUUUGGCUCCAUAUGAGCAAAUUCAUAUGAGAGAAUUAAGAUUUCACCAUGAAAUUUAAAAUUAAUUGCUUUUUCUUUUGUUUUCAAUCACAAAUAUCAAUCUCAAGUUUGUAUUUUCGUGUGAAGUUUAUUUAAACAUAAUAUUCUACAAGAAAAUCCCAACAUAUACAAGAAAAUACCAUUGUUACAUACAGAUGACUAUAAAAAAUAGUCAAUCAUAGAAGAAAGAUGACAACGGAAAGUAAUUAUUAUUAUGGGAAGGAUGACCGACAAAAAUAAACAACCAUCAAAUACCAACAAUGACCACGUCUUGCUAUCAUCUUCUCCUUUUCUUCUUCAAAAGCUAUGAACAACUAAAUUCAUAAUCCAUGUUAUAAAUUAUUAUUUUUUCCCCUUUUUUCUUAUCUCUCACUCCUCUUGUUUAUUCUCCCCUCUUCCUCUUACAUGUUUCGUGAUUUUUCCAAAUAUUUCUUUGUGCUAGAAAUAUAUUUCCACAAUCCAUUCCCUUUCAAGAAAUUGUUCAUCAAAUAAGAUCACUGGUUAUAAUUUGAUUUGCCGAACCUAACACAGACAGAUUGGGAUAGAUUAGAGGAGGCCUUUGAAAAAGAAAACCACAGGAAAUAAAAAUCUGUGACCUAAACUGAAGAGAAAAGCUACCAAAGCACCUUUCUUGCUAAUUCACGUGAUCUGAAUGAGAGUCCCGCCCUCGAGUUUUUCUUUCCCAUAGUAAGCGUAGAGAUUCUUCACACCAGGCCCACCACAGUAACAGAGGAAUGGAAAAAAUUAUUCAAAGAGAUAAAGGAUUUGAUAGCAUAGAAACUUUUCUACAUAGAAUUUUACAGACCAUUCUAUUAAACUUUAGGAUUAAUGAACAUCAUACACACAUAUGCAUACAAGUACAUGAAAUGAUCUAAAGCCAAUACUACACAAUCAGAGAAAUAUAUUCACAGCCCACGAGGUCGAUUGUGGUUAGACUACCCCAUUUUCUUUCACUGCAACUCCAUUCUGUUUCUCUUUCUCACCUGACGCUUCCUUCUCUUUCACUUCUCCAGCAGUUGCCUCCUUCUCCUUCCCUUCUUUCUCGCCCUUUAACCUCUCUUCUUCCUCCUCCUUCUCUUUAGCUUCCUUCUCGGCCUUCACCCUCGCUUCUUCCUUGGCGGUCUCAAGGGCCUGAAUCAAACUCUCCAAACAAGUUGUCCCAGGAUCACCAGUGACGGACUUGGGCAUCAAAUUUUCCGCAACAUCAGCAGGAGUCAUAUUGGUUUCCUCCAACAAUCUGCGGAUGCUUGCAAACAAAUGGUGGGAGUCAAGAUCCAAGUAAUUCUUAGCCAGCACCUUGAAUGCUUCAAAGCAACAGUAGGAUAAUUCUAUGUGCUUGUCCAUCCUCCCUCUCCUUAUGAGAGCAGGAUCAAGUUUUUCCACAUAAUUGGUGGUGAAAAUUAUCAGCCUCUCUUCCCCACAAGUUGACCACAACCCAUCAAUAACAUUCAGGAGCCCCGAUAGAGUAACUUUGCUUUCUUUGCUUUCACCUUCUUUUUCCAUUUUACGAAUUGGAUCCUUCUUCUCUUCCUCA
This 8127-nucleotide long non-coding RNA is filed under the name Vitis vinifera (wine grape). RNAcentral describes it as "long non-coding RNA (VVIN_LNC004870)". Lineage: Eukaryota; Viridiplantae; Streptophyta; Magnoliopsida; Vitales; Vitaceae. The record is from RNAcentral.